GAUGAAGAACGUAGCGAAAUGCGAUAAGUAGUGUGAAUUGCAGAAUCCAGUGAAUCAUCGAAUCUUUGAACGCACAUUGCGGCCAUAGGUAUUCCUUUGGCCAUGCCUGUUCGAGCGUCAUUUACACCCUCAAGCCUAGCUUGGUGUUGGGCGCCUGUCCCGCCGUUUUCGCGCGCGGACUCGCCUCAAAGUCAUUGGCGGCGGUCGUGCCGGCCCCCUCGCGCAGCACAUUUGCGCUUCUCGGAGGCCCGGCGGAUCCGCGCUCCAGCAAGACCUUUCACGACUUGACCUCGGAUCAGGUAGGGAUACCCGCUGAACUUAAGCAUAUCAAUAAGCGGAGGA
RNAcentral lists this unclassified non-coding RNA (342 nucleotides) under soil metagenome. RNAcentral describes it as "partial contains 5.8S ribosomal RNA, internal transcribed spacer 2, and large subunit ribosomal RNA". The stretch from base 1 to 120 matches the Rfam family "5.8S ribosomal RNA", at positions 35 to 154 of the family's 154-position model. The record is from RNAcentral.